AGAGCGAACGCUGGCGGCAGGCUUAACACAUGCAAGUCGAGCGCCCCGCAAGGGGAGCGGCAGACGGGAGAGUAACACGUGGGAACGUACCUUUCGGUUCGGAACAACCCAGGGAAACUUGGGCUAAUACCGGAUACGUCCGUAAGGAGAAAGAUUUAUCGCCGAAAGAUCGGCCCGCGUCUGAUUAGCUAGUUGGUGAGGUAACGGCUCACCGAGGCGACGAUCAGUAGCUGGUCUGAGAGGAUGAUCAGCCUCACUGGGACUGAGACACGGCCCAGACUCCUACGGGAGGCAGCAGUGGGGAAUAUUGGACAAUGGGCGCAAGCCUGAUCCAGCCAUGCCGCGUGGGUGAUGAAGGCCCUAGGGUUGUAAAGCCCUUUCGGCGGGGAAGAUAAUGACGGUACCCGCAGAAGAAGCCCCGGCUAACUUCGUGCCAGCAGCCGC
RNAcentral lists this ribosomal RNA (444 nucleotides) under uncultured bacterium. Its description in RNAcentral is "SSU rRNA". It matches the Rfam family "Bacterial small subunit ribosomal RNA", at positions 26 to 518 of the family's 1533-position model. The record is from RNAcentral.